AAACGCCGCACUCACUGUCUGGCUACUUCCCUUCCCUGUUCACCAAGCCCCUCACGCACGCCAGCAUGCUUUCUGUCUCCAUGGAUUUACCUGUCCUGGACAUUUCUCAUAAAUGGAGCCACGUCAUAAACGACCCUUUGUGACUGGCUCCCUUCACUUAGCGCACAGUUUUCAAGGCUCAUCCGUGUCCUGGCGCAGCAGGGCGUCAUUGCUGUUUAUGACUGAAUGAUACUCAGCAGCACAUCUCUUCCACAUUUUGUAUUUACUCAUCUGUUGAUGGACACUUGAGCUGUUGCCAUCUGUGAGCUAAAGUAAGUGGUGCUGCUGUGAACGCAGUGUUUGGUGUGUGUCUGGAUGGGUGUGUGUUUGGUUGAGGGUUUAUAAUUAUUUGGGGCGUAUACCUAGGAGUGGAAUUUCCAGAUCACAGGGUAAUUCUAUGCUUAAUAUAUCGAGCCCACCAUAUUACCUUCCAUAGUGGGUGAACCACUUUACAUUCCCACCAGUUAUGGAUAAUAGAUAGAAUGUUUCCACGUCCUCACCAAUACAUGUUAUGUUUCUUUAAAAAUAUUAUUAUGACCGUAGCCAACGUUGUGGGUAUGAACUGAUAUCUUAUUGUGGUUUUUACUUGCAUUUCCCUAAUGGCUAGUGAUGCAGAACGUCAUUUCAGUGCUUCUUGGCCACUGUAUACUUUCUUUGAAGAAAUACCUACUCAGGUCCUUUUCCAAUUUGUAGACUGAUUAUCUCUUUUUGGUGUUGAGUUGCAAAAAUUCUUUAUAUAUUCUAGAUAGUAGACUUGUAUCAGGUAUAUGACUUACAAAUAUUUUCUCCCAUAUUGUAGGUUGUUUUUUCACAUUCUGGUGCACAAAAGUUUUUUGGUUUGUUAUUGUUUUUCUGGGUUUUUUGAGAUGGGGUCUCACUAUGGUCCUCACUAUGGUCUUGGACUACUGGACUCAAGUGAUCCUCCUUUCUGAGCUUCCCAAAUAGCUGGAACUACAGGAAUGCAUCACUGUGCCCAGCAAAAGUUUUUAAUUUUGGUAAGUCCAAUAUCUUUUUUCUUUUGUUGCUCAAAUCUGUUGGUGUCAUAUCAAAGAAUCCAUUGCCAAAUCCAGGUUCAUGAUGUUUUAAACCAGUGUUUUUUUCUAAAAGAUUUGCAUGGUAGGGGUCCAACUUCACUCUGUUUGCCUGUGAAUAUCCACUUGUCCCAGCACUGUUUGUUGAGGGGAUUCUUCUUUCCCCCAUUGAAAGGUCUUGGCAUCUUUGUUGAAAAUCAAUUAGUACAGGUGUAUGCAUUUAUUUCUGGUUUAUCUUAGUUCAACUCUAUUCCUUUGGUCUAUAUAUCUUUUAUGAGCACCACAAUAUCUUGAUUACUGUUAGUUUGUCAUUGGCUUCAAAAUUGCAAAGUGUGAAUCCUCCAACUUCAUUUUUCUGUUUCAAUAUUAUUUUGGUGGAUUAAUAUUCAACUCGUGUGUGUAAGUUUGCCUGUAUGUUACUGUGUUACUGGGGAUUGAACCAGGGCUUCAUGCAUGCUGGGCAAACACUCUACCACUGAGCUACACCCCUCGCCCUUUUUAUUGUUUAUUUUGAGACAGGGUCUUACUAAGUUGUCCAGGCUGGCCUCAAACUUGUGAUCCUCCUGUGUCAGCUUCCUGCAUGCACCACUGUGCCCAACUCAUUCAUUUUUUUUUUUAAUUCAAAAAAGUGUUUCUGUAAUUGUUGAUAUUCACCCAAGCCAAGGCAGAAGGUAUCUGCAAAAGGAUUCUUACAGGAAGAACCUAGAGAUCCGGAUUUGCUGGAUUUGCCACCAACUCUGUAGGUGUCCUUUGCAACCCACAUCCUCUCUCUGGGCCUCACUUUACUCUUCUGCCAAAUAGAGAAGAGGGAGCUCAAAUUUACGUUUAUGCUUGGAGUGGGACCUGAAACAUUUUAGUGAGCUCCCCUGUAAAAAUGCUUAGAAUGCCCAGCCUGAGGGUCCAGGCCACAGAGACGUGGCUGCCAGAGUUCCCCUCCCACAAGCCCCACACCUGGAGCUGCCUGGCUUCAGUGAAUCCCCCCGGUCAUCAGUAAAGGUGUUGUUCUAGCAAGAACUCAAUCGGCAGAGGGACGAGAAGUCUGGGCCUGGAGAAAUUCGGACAUUGGGUCAGCAGUAGUGUGUCCUCUGUCUGUCAUUGAUUUCUGCUUGACAUUUUCCAGCACUUGACAAAUGGAUUAAGAGCAGAGUCUCAUAUAUUGUGGGUACCCUGGGUGAUGCAAAGACUAAUUAGCUAUGCCCCCUGCCUUCUGGUAAUCAGUUUCACAUUUGAAUAAUAAUCAGGGGGAAUUUUAAUCAUCUUGAAAGUUAUUAUUUUUUUCAUUGUUUUGGGUAUUACUUUCAAUUUUUUUUUUUUUAAAUCACUACUGCACAUAUAAAUAGCCUUUCAGAAAAAGCAGAGCCCUGAACACAGAAGAUCAGCUACUUGCCUAGCUGGAUGCCACCUACCAUUCCAAACAACUUAGUGCAGUCUGUGUUGGUUGAACUGCAGUCAAGAUGCGUUGGUACCGUCUUAGCUUUCUUUACCUGACGGGCUUUCAUAGAACACACCGUCCUACGGGGAUGGCACCCACAUUCUAGACCAUGAGCUAGAACGUCUCCACCUCAAGUCUCCACCUGACUCUUGCCCCCAUUUCUACGCUGUCCUCCAGCUGAUGGGCUAAUGCUGGAGUGUGGGCAGGUCCUCUGCCACUGCUGCCAGAGAUGGUGGUAGUGAGAACAAGCGGGGGGUAUGGUCAGGUGAUGGAUGGCACUUGGCAGGGGACAGAGACACAAGAAGUAUCAAGAAUGACUCCCAGAUUUCUGGCCUGCAACACGGCUUAUUUGGUCCUAGUCAAUGAGCUCAGAAGCACAAAGUGGACCAGGUUUGGGUUGAAGAACAGGGCACCACGUUGUUCCACGGUCCCUAUAGAGUUGGGUACCAUGGGAACCCCAGAGAAGCUCAUGUGCUCAGUCUUAGAAAAGUCAUGCCCGAGGUGACUUUUCAGCUUCCAGAUGACGUCAGUAAGGAGACAGAGGGAGCCCAAAGCAGGGCAGGCCUGACCCAAGAAGCCCAGAGAGGCCGCUGGUGCUGGGGAGGGGGCCUCUGCUGCCAGGGUUUCUUCCAGAGACCCCGGAGAGGAGGGAAGGCCGGCCGAAGUGCUCCCCAGGAAGGCGGCUGAGCUGGGAGGGCUGGGGAAGGGCAGGGCGGCAGGAAUAAUUACCUGAGCUGGCAGCCAGCCCCAGCUGAGUGUGGCCCCAGGGAGCCGAGCGCAGAAAGAGCCGCGUCUUUAGUGCCGCAGGUGUUGGAGUAGAAAAUUUUCCAUGAAGAGGGGGCUGUUCCACAAGAUUAAAAUAGCCACUUGGGCCCUCCUGGCAAGCGCAGCGUCUCUCCACACCUCCAGCGUGUUCUUCAAGUGGAGGCUGUUCCUGUUCCGAGGAGGGAACCGGCAAAAAGAAUUCCUUCUCUUCUCACAUUUGCUAAUAAGGAAGGAGAGGGACAAAGGGCCCCAGGGGCAGCCGGGGAGGCAGGGCGUGGUGUUCUGCUGAAGACCUGGAGGGAGGCUGAGGAGGGGAACACCUGGGGUGCGGAGCCCAGGGUGCAGCGGGGAGCGCUGGAAAUGGAGUCGGGGCCUGGAGCCCUCCGGCUGAGUCCCCGUGCUGUCCCGUCCAGGCCCAGAGUUUUAGGGGUGAACUGGACAGAGCAAUGUGCUGGGAGGGAAGCUGGAGACUCCUCUGUAGUAAGAAGACAAAUUUCUCCCCCUGGGGAAUUGGAGGCCUUGUCCCUUCCAGGAAGAAGCCAGGACACAUGUCCCACUGCCUCUUACACUCCCCUCUUCCUGUCUGAGGGGCUGGGCUGGCUGGCAGCUUGGCCUCCCCUCUGUGCCAGGGUGGCUGGAGGACAGAGUAAGCCCUGCCUGCCACGCAGGUGGCACAUGAACUUCAGGACACGUUCAUGAGGAGAUGGUGACGUCUCUGGCCCUCAUUCAGCCAAGGUCUCCGGAGUUCUCAAACGUCCUCGUCCCCACCCCUUUCUUAGUUGCACUGGGUUUUCUUGGCUUCUUCAGCGGCACCAGGUAUUGCAUACCCCUCCUCCCUCUUUGCCACGGCAGGUCCCCUCAGCCGCUGGGAGUGAGUGUGGACAGCCACCCACUCCCCAGAGGCAGAAUGUGCAGGGACCCCUUGGUCUCUUCCGGCUGUUGCUAUUGGGACAUUACUAUUGCGGGGAAGAAGCUAACCGUGGCCUGUCUCUGCUUACCUAACUUUUUACAAAAUGCCCUCUGCCCAUGUUGGCAAGCGGCUCACCAUCAUGAAAGAUGCUGGGGACCCACCCCUGGUGAAAGCCACUCUCCCAGAUAGUCCCCUGAUAGGGGCAUCUGAGAGUCCUCCCCACUGUCUCAGCCCUCACUGACCCCCUCUCUGAACAACACUUCCCACAUAGGUCUUCUCCAAGGUGCGCAUUCCUGCAUCAGACUCCCCUGGGAAGCCUUUUGGGAAAGCAGAUUCCUGAGCCCAUUUUCCAUUCUGAAAAGUAUCUGCGCUUGCAGUGUCUCCCAGGGGAAUCUGGGGGAAUCUCUCCAGCUGUGUUAACUUCUUUAUACCCCACAGUUUGACACACAGUCGUCUCCACCACACAUUGCCUCCUGUCCCAGUGGGCAGAACAAUGGUGUUCAUGAUUCCUCACAUGUGGCAGGGCUCAGUCAGUGACUGUGAGGACGGCUACUAGCUGGUGUGUGUGUGUGUGUGUGUGUGUGUGUGUGUGUGUGUGAGAGAGAGAGAGAGAGAGAGAGAGAGAGAGGGGAUAGAUAAGAUAGGAUAAGAUAAUACAAGAAAGUAGGGUUAGUAGAACCCCAUUACAGUAGCUUUGCCUGCAGGUCUGGUGCUACCUCAUGGAACUGAAGUGUGGGAUGUAGAGAAAGUUCUUAGCAGACAGGAUCCUGGAUCUACAAAGCUGUUAAGAGCAAAGGCAGGAGGAGGACUCACGUCCAAGGGUAACAGGGUUCAGAUACACUACUUACUGACCAUAUGUGUUUGGGCAAAUUGCUUGAUCUUCAGGCCUGGCUUAACAGCACUUCCUCCCAGGAAGCAGUGGAGGUUGACUUGGAGGCUACAAGAGGCCUAAGUAUCUGUAAGCCUACUGUGUGCCCCAGGCUCGGCUUCCCUCCGUACCCUCCUCCUCCUCUCUCGCAGACUGGUUCCCGCUCCUGCCUGUAUAGAUUCAACCUAUAGCUACUUUACAUCUCCUCAGAGGUAGACACCCAAAACGGAGGUGCCACUCCCUUGGCCCGAGUCUCCAGAGACUCUGAGGGCCUUUCAGGGUCCUCCCCACCCAAAUCAUCCCUGGUUGAGAAUGAGGGGUGUAGUGUGCGAACAGGAUCCAGCUCCAUCACCUCAGCCCCAUCAGGAAGAGAGUUCUCAGAGAGGAGAGUGGAGGGUGGCCAGGGCUGGGUACACACCCCACAGGCCUCUGCUGUGACCCUCCUAAGCCUCCUCCUGGGUCCUCACCCAGGCUGCUGGUGUCUCCAGAGCCUUCUCUCAUCUUGCUGGGGGGCUUGAGUUCUUCAGCCUCAGGUCUGCCUGCCUCCCCCUGAAUCUGCCCCACUUGUACCCUCCGCUGGGCCUUGAUGCCUAAGCCCUGUGUCUAAAGGGCUUACAGUUAGUUGGCGGAAUCAAACACACACACACGCACACACACACACAAGUUGAAGUGUCCGGUGCUCCCCCACCAGCUGCAGCUCCCAGGGAGGAGGAGUCCGGAGGAGGAGGGCCCCACGUGGGCUGUGAGGCUCGGGAAAGCUUCCUGGAGGAGGAGGAACUAGGUCAGGGGCUCGAGGCUGUGCGAGGCUGUGCGGGUUGGGGGGACAUCCUGGCAGGCAUGGGAGGAAUGGGGAAGGCCUGCUGAGAAGCUGCCUGGCAGGGACACGGUCAGGAAGGAGUCAGAGCACAACAGGUGCUGCCAUCACAGGGGGCCUCCUCCUGGGGCUGGGGCUCCAGCAAGCCCUGGCCUCCCUGCUCAGGCGAGCUGCUGAAGGGCCUCCCCAGGACCUGACUGCUCAUUGAUCGGCCUGUGAAAGGCCACUUGGUGGGCUGGUUGCCGAGAGACGGCCCGAGGCCGGGGGCCAGGAUUAGUGAGUGGCCUGUUUGCUCUCCUUGCUGAGAGGAAGGAGGACUUUGGUCUCAGCUUAUCAAACUGCCCCAGGUUUGAAAGCCCAGGAAUGCAACCUUGGGCAAAUGGGCAGGUUCACAGGACACCCAUUAAUCAAACAGCUCCCUUCCCUCCAGCCUAACAACUUCUCUCUCUCUCUCUCUCUCUCUCUCUCUCUCUCUCUCUCUCUCUCUCUCUCUCUCUCUCUUAUGUGGUCUUUUGGAGCUCCCAGAAGAGAGGGGACAUAUAUUUCCUCAAGCCCAGCUGACCACCACCCCAGGCCCGGGAGGAACUACGCAGGAGAGCAGGCCAGCUCAGAUGACUUUCCCUAAUGGGCCCAUGAGGUCCUGUAGAGGCUUCCCUAAGGUGGACAGAGCCGUCAGGCCACCCCACCUGCCCUGUGCCCCACACAACUAGCAACACAUCAUCCCCUCAAGAUGGAAAGAAAAAUGUCCUCACCAAUAACUUCUAGAGAAAGCUUUCUUUAAAAUAUACAAUCCUUUCCAACUCCGUGGACUGCACAAGGGCAGUCCUUGUCACUGCUAGCACACACAGUCACGUGUCACAUGCCAAACGCACAGUUACGUGUCAGCCCAGAGGCCAAAGAUCCAGACUCCUCACCAGUGCUUGGCUCUAAGGGGAAAAGGAUGAGUCUUAGCAUGUCUCCCUGCCAACGAGAACAAGUUCAGAGGAAUAAGUUAAUAAUAAUAAUAAACAUAAACUGGGUCUUAAUAGUAGGUGUGACACCAACUACAAGUUCCACCUGGGGGCACAUAGUUUUCUGGUAUCGGGGUGGAGAAGGUUCCUGGCCUUCAGGAGAUCAUGUGGCUCUCAUUUGAGCCAACUGGCCAUGGCUGCUGCCUGGGUAGUGUCUACCUGCUGGCAGGAAGCUAGACGGGCAGGGGAAGAGAGAGUACCAAAUGCUCUGCUCUGCUCAGACUUCACCCAGAGUGUUGCCUUCCGUCCUGGGCACCACGCCUGAACUUUCCACCCGAUGCCAGCCUAGUCACAGAGGGUGAGCCCACCAACUGGGAAGGGCUUUCAAGCCAGGUCGGUGAGAUGUCUGGUCUGAGCGGACUUAGGAGUCACACCCUCUGGUCCAGAGAAGACAGAGGAAGUCCUCAGCCCUACCUACUGCCCUGCACCCCUGUGCCCUCUGCCUCAAUUUCGGCAUCCACCGCCUUCCCUGGGCAACCACAGAGGUGUCUCCAGAACUUUCUGGCCAAGCCCCUGACAGUUCCUGAAGUCCCUGCUCCUUCUCGUUGGCAGGUAGACAUGCUAACACUCAUAGGAUUUUGCACUUUCCCCUGGAAACUCUUCAGAUCUCUGCCACCCCUGCCCACCUCCUGCCAUAGCCCCAGAAUGAGACAGUGAGACCCGCAGGCCCUGCACAUCUUGUAGCAGUCUGCAACCCUCACAUCCCACAUUACCCACAGGGCAGGGUACCACACAGCACCCAGCCUCCCCACUUCCUGUCCCCUUCAUCUGGAUCUCCUUCAGCCUCCAGCUGCCAUCUGAAUGACCCCCUGCCCAUGACUCACUGUCCCCUCCCUGGGCCCAGCACCCUGCCUGAGGCCUGCUGCUGUUUUCCCCAUUAGCCUCCUUCUCUAGGCUAUCUGCUACUCACUGGGGUCCCCCCACAUCUGUCCCCAGCUCCUGGCACUAGCCUGGCACCCAUUGGUAUUUGUUGAAUGUACAGAUGCCAGCUGUUUUCAAAGGUGUGAAAGACUGUCAUGUGGAAUGAGGGUUAGUCCUGCCCUAAUCCUCUGAGUGACUCAGAGCUGGCAUUGGAAGCCAGAGACAGGAGUCAGGUGAGGUCCCUGGAGAGCAGGCCACUCCUGGAGGUGGCAAGUUCCCUGCACCUGAAUGGAAUAGGAAGACCCAUGGAAGAGGGCGGCAGCAGAGGGGUUCUCUUGGUGAUCUGACCUCCGUGGGCCGUCCAGCUCUAGGAGGCUAUGGGCUGGCUUCACUUUUGGACCCCCUCCCAUGAGCACAGCAGUCAUACUGCAGUCAGGGCUGCAGGGCUGGGCCUUGGAGUGCCAAGAGGCAGGACGUAUCCCAGCAGGGCUGACCCUAGCAAAGCAGGCCCGCUCUGUGCCUAUGGAAGACAAGGUGGGUGGAGUCUGACUGUCAGCCUGCGGUCCUCAGAGAGAGCUGGGCCUUCUCUAUCUGUACCCAGCAGGGUUGGCACACUCCUCACACCCUCCUGCUUGAGGGCUGAGCAUUGUGUUUCCCACCAAAGGACACUGGCCCAGAAGGCCAGGAGCCCAGCACUGAGAUGGGGACUUGGCAUCAGAGCUAACCCAGGUGCAGCGGGGAGGAGAGGUGACCUCUGCAGCCAGUGUGGCUCCUCGGCCUCAGCAAGGCCGUCCUCCCCACCAGCAAGGUCACAGUUAUCUGCCCCAGAGCGAGUGCUCUUGUAGGGCCUGGAUGCCCUCCAAACAUGUGGAGGGAGUUUCAACCUAAUCCAGGACUUUUAAAAGGUCUCCCACGCCUGACAUUUUCCAAGUGUUGUAAGCUCCAGGCAAGGACAAGAAAGAAAAGCACUUGGAAGUACUUCUACGGCUGCAGCUGCCAGUGUCACCUCAGAGUGUGUCAACGUGCAUGAAUCAGUGCGUGUGUCAGUGUAAGAAUGUGUCGGUGUGUACGUGUAUGCAUGCAUGUGUCCAUGUGUGUCUCCUGUGUGUGUGCAUCCCUGUGUAUGUCACUUACAUGUCAGUGUGAUGUCUGCGUGUGCCUCUGUGUGUCUGUGCAUGUGUGUGCAUGUGUGUGCAUAUUGGGAAGGGUGUGGAGAAGUCAUUUGCUUUGAUUGUGAGACCGAAAGAAGCACUUGGUUCAGAAUCUCUCUCCCAGGCUGGAAGGACAGCGGAAGAUGGUCCCGAACCUCGCUCUCUAACUGGUUGUUGGAUGUGGCCACCUGCAGUGAGGCCCCUUUGAAGUCUCUAUUCGCAAACCUUCUUCAUAUUCCACAGAAACUUUGCCCGCUUCCCUGGUUUUGCCAAAACUGUGGUCAUUUUCCUGCUUUGAGAGUUUAAUGUUUAUAGUCACAGGAAAGGGUGGGGAUUUUCAGUCAGCAGGUCCUGAAUCCCAGUUCCCCGGGGCCAGGUGUGAGACUCAGGUGAGCUCAUCUCAGUAAGCCUGUCUCCCGAGGCGGUGAUGUGCAGCGCUACCACGUGGGGCUGGACAAACACUGGGAGCUUUCUUGCAUGUUUUCACAGGUUUCCCCAUUUUGCAAAUCUGCUUUUCCAAUGUAUGAUUCAAAAACAAAACAAAAUAAAGCACAAAAAUUAUAUUCCCAGUCUCCUUUCCUGCAGGAUACAGGCACAUGUCUGACAUUGCCCCUGAGUGAUGACCCCAUAAGAGGUGGGAGCAGGCUGAGGGGGCAGGCUGAGGGGACAACCGUGGGCUGGCUGAGCAGCAGCAGAGGCAGGUGGGCUCAGACACAGCAGAGUUCCAACCCCCAGUCUCGUGGGACUCCUGACUGUUCCUACAAUGUCAUCCUGCACCCUGCCCGGUGGUGGGCUUGGCACUCUCUCACAUCCUUAGAUAAAUUCUUUCCUGCUUUAACUACCAGCUAAUGAAGAUUCUGCCCUCUGUAACUGAGAGCCCCCUAGUCCCAGAGAACCCACAUAGGUCGGCAUUUGGAGACAGGGACAGUUGUGAUUACAAAGGGUACAUGAAAUUAGAUCCACGAUUGUCUUGGAUGGUCCCUGAAUUUCCCGGGCUUCUCCUUUCCUCGUGUUGGCAAUCUUGCCUGAUGGAUGGAGCCCUGGCUCUCAGGCAGCUGAUGCAGGAUGGAGACCUGCCUGUCUCAUCUUCUCUCAGUGGGAAGAGAGUGGAGAAGUGGUGUUUUAGGGAGGCCAGCCCAAGGGCCCCCUUGUCUCUCUUUAAGAUCUCCCUUCAUAGCUAGCAAGUCCCCUACCCUGGGCCAGAGAUUGGGCUAGGCAGUUUAGGGGCUGCAAAAUAAAAGUUAGAACCCCAAUAUCUAGCCCUAAGGAGGUUGGUCUGACGGAGAGGCACCUCGACUGGUGAGAGAGAAGAAUGACCGAAAAAGUGGGCGUGAGGAGGAGGUGGCUUUGGCUGGGGUGGCCAGAGAGGCCUUCCCAAAGGGAUCCCAGCAGGGCCUGACCCUGGGUAGGCGAGAUUUGGGGGAAUGAAGAAUGCCGGGAAGGGAGCCCCAGGAAAACAAUGAGAACAAGUAAAGUGCCAGGUGGGAUCGGUGCCCCCCACUUUAUGGGGCAAAGAGAGAGAGCCCUCUGGAAUUGUCGGCUUCAGCCAGUUCCUGGGGCCCCGAGGCCUGGACGAGGAGCUUGGGUUUUAGUCCAGGAUGGAUAUAUGACUGGGUUCGACAGAGAGGACCUUGACCUCACCCCUCUGCCGCUCUCCUGACUUCCAGGGUCAGAAGCCUGGUGCCCGUGGGGAGGAGUAGCCCACUGCUUCAUGCCCUUCCUUCGUCUGGGCCACCAGAACUACAUUGGCAAAGGACACCCAAAACUGCCUGUUCCCCAAUACAAGGUUUUUAUCAAGUUUUUCAGGCUUUGUCUUGCUGGAGCUCCGGGGUUUAAUGCUAGAAUCUCUCCAUUCUUAAAACUCUCUCCGUGGCUUCUGCCCACUUCCCAGGAGGAGCUCAGACGAGCGGGCUCAUCCUCUGCCGAGUGUGACCUUAAGGGCCUCAGUUAGUGCAGCAAGGAGACUUAACACGGGACUCCGGACAUCGUAAGGUGGACAUUCCCAAGAAUCAAGUCAGCUUCCUGAUCGCCCACCUCCGACGUCUCCUCCCAGACUCUUCCCUCUCUGUGUUAAUGGCCACUAGCAUCCUCUCGUGAUCCAGGCCAGACACCUGGCAGGGAUCCUGUCCUCCCUGCCUCAGCCCCACACCCUGAGAGUCAUGGUCCCACAGCUCCACCUUGUCCCUCUCUGCCACUGCCCCCUCACGUUGCCCCGGCCCUCGCCAAGGCCCAGCACCCCCAGCUCUGCCAUGACCUCCUACCUGGGCGCUCAACCUCCCGCCACCCCUCCCUGCCUGGGCCGACUCUGCUAGGGAGAGCUCCCUAACGCACAGACCUGAUGAGCCGGGCCCUUCUGGACCUCCCUCAGUGUGUCCCCACCACUCACCAAGGCAGGUGAGAGGAACAGUCCGCUCUUCCCCAUCUUCCACCUCACACACCUGCCGCACCAUCGAGACCUGCGUGUGGGGCCCUAAGAGCGUCCUGUUGUUUCUGCCCAGGGCCCUUAUCUGGGCCGUGGCCUCUGCCUGGAAUGUGCUUCCCACCCUCAUUGGCCUACAGGACACCCAUCCACCCUUCAAGAACACCACAGGGGAUAUCGCCUGACCCCAGACUGGACUAGGUGCGUCUGCUCUGUGGCCCUACGUACCCGAUACCCCAUAUAAAAACACCACUGUGGUCUGUACUAUCUGAUUACAGCCACGCCCUCCCACUAGCUGAGCUGAUUUGGGACCUGGGACUGUGUGUUAUACAACUUUUGGGGACCCUGUCCCCGAGUUUCAUGCCUGGCACAAGUGGGUACUGAAUACAAUUUUGUCAGUGGCAGCCAAACUAAACGGCAGGAUGCUUUGGAAGGAGGUUGGCCAGUGAGCAAGGGGACACACCAAGGUAUAGAUGACCAAGUUCAACCAAGAGAAUUCUCCUUCCCCUGAGGAAGUCUUCUGAAACCAGGAGGUAUCCCUGAUUCAGCAGGGACAGGCAGACAGGACCCCCACUCACACUCCCUGGGGAGCUUCUCGCCAAGGACCUCGUGCUCCAAGGAGGUGUCAAACCAGAGGUCAGAAUGGCCAGGUCAGUGGAGAAAGGCAGGAGGUGUGGGGGCCCUUGGGCGGCAGGACUUCCCACCUAUUAGAUAAACAGGGGACACAGCCACAAGCUGUGGGAGAGGAAACAGGCAGAUCCAGAGAGGGACACCAUGGGGCUACAGGCUCCUGUCUCCUCAGCAAGCUGGUGCUGAGGGAGCCUGAGGGCUGCAACACCCAGGUGCAGUGCGUGGUCCACAUCAGACUCUGGAGUCAGGACCUCUGGAGAGAUGUGAAUGCAAAGUGAUGUUAGGGUUUACCAAGAAGUUACUAGUCAUAAUUUGAUACUAUAAUGUUAUUUUAACUAUGUAGGAAAAUAAUCUUAUUUUUUAGAGACACAUUCAGAAAUAUUUAGGGAUAACAUAUUAUGGGACCUGUACCUCAGUUUAAAAUAUCUCAGUGUAAAAUAUAUAAUGAGUUUAAGGGCCAAUGCUACUGUGAGAAACUGUAAGUUAGACACACUGUGAAUUUACAGCAAUUAUCCUAGGAAAAUUUCAACGGUUGAGCUUGUGCUGAUGAUUGAACAGAUUCCCGUUGUGAUGUCUGUGUUCUGUGUUCAGGUCGAAUCGUCGAUAGCUUGUCAUAUGAAGAGCUGUCAGGUGUGAGUGAAGUCUGCAUGUCCAGUCCUGAUGGUUUCCAUGAUGAGGGAGACCUUGGCUGUCUGGGACCUCGUGUGCAGUUAAGGAGCGUCUUGAGAGUUAGCCAAGGAAGGGGUCCUCAUGCCUGAGAAGUGACGCAGCACUGAAUGAAGCAGGGCUUGGUGUGGCAAGGACCAAAGGUGCAGCGUGCCCGCUUCCUUGAAGGGCAACUCAGGAACAGAACCAGAAUCUGGGCUGGUUAGAAAUGCAAGAGUCCAAACCAGCCGCUAGAGCAGCUCAUGGGGAUGCGAAACGGGCUCCACACAGAAAUCUGGCUGCUGCCUGUCUGCUGUGGCCUCCCCUCCCCAGGGCCUACGACACUGUGCAGUUAGGAUCACAGUUGUAAAAACAACCCUGCGACCGUGCUGGUGUGCUGGAGCCAGGGUGUGCAAGUGUGCAAGCGUGUGUGCCAGGAUAUCUGGCCCACAGCCGAGCAGGGCUGGCGAAAACUGAGAGCUGACCGUCCAAGGCCCCUACCGUGAGGCAGAGAGGACCGGUGAGAGGCAGACCCACGCGGGAAUUGAUCCUUAGGGAAAAUGGCAUUAUAUAUCUCUCUGUGUGUGGAGGUACCACCACGUUCCUCUUUACUGUGUAUAAAAAAAGUCGUGUCUUUGUUCAAAUAGCAUUUUUAAGGUUUUUAUUGGUGCAUUACGAUUAUACAAAAUAGUGGGGUUCGUCGUUAUAUAUUCCUACAUGCACACAAUGAUAACACUAUAGUUUGCUCCACUUCUUUCCCCACUAACUCUUGUCCCUCCCUCUGGUCCCCUUCCUCUACUCUACUGGAUUCCCUUCUAUUUUCAUGAGAUCCCACAUACACAGUUUUCUCCCCCUUUUCUUCACUCUACCUUCCACAUAAGAGAGAAAACAUAUGGUCCUUGACUAUCUGUGUUUGGCUUGUUUCAUUUAACAUAAUGCUCUCAAGUUCCAUCUGUUUUCCUGUAAAUGUUAGUUUCAUUCUUCUUUAUGGCUGAAUGAAGCUCCAUUGUGUAUAUAGACCACAUUUUCUUUAUCUGUUCAUCCACUGAUGGACCCGUAGGCUGGUUCCCUAAUUUGGCUACUGUGAAUUUUGCUGUUAUAAGUAGUGGUGUGCAUGUAGUGCUUUAGUAUGUUGACUUAAGUUCUGUGGGAUAAAUAUGGAGGAGUUGUACAGACUGUCCCAUUUCAAGUCUUUUGAGGAAUCUCCAUAAGGAUUUCCAUAGUGGUUGUACUAAUUUACAAUCCCACCAAUAAAAGUGUUCCUUUCCCCCACAUCUUUUCCCACGUUUAUUAUUAUUUGUAUUCUUGCCAACUGCCAUUCUAACUGGGGUGAGAUAAAAUCUCAGUGAGUUUUGAUUUCCAUCUUCCUAAUUGCUACAGAUGUUGAUCAGCUUUUAAUAGAUUUGUUGGCCAUUUGCAUUUCUUCUUUUGAGAAGUGUCUGUUAGUUCAUUUGCCAUUUAUUGGUGGGGUUCUUUGUAGGGCUUUUUUGGGGUUAAGUUUUUGAGUUCUUUAUAUAUUCUGGGUAUUACUCCUUUGUCAGAGAACAGAUGGCAAAGGUUUUCUCCCAUUCUGUAGAUUCCACUUUCUCUUCUUGCUCUUGUUUCUUUUGCUGUUCAGAAGCUUUUUAACUUGAUGCCAUUCCACUUAUUAAUUCUUGGCAUUAUUUCCCAAGCUGUAGGAGCCCCAUUGAAGAAGACUGUACCUGUACCUAUAAGAUGAGUGUUGACCCUACAUUUUUUUCUAGCAGUUGCAAAAUUUUGGGUCUAAUUCCUAGGUCUUUGACCAUUUUGAAUUGGCUUUGGUGCAGGGUAAGACAUAGGACUCUUGUUAAAUUCUUCUACAUAUGAAGAACCAGCUGUCUCAGUGCCAUUUGGUGAAAAUGCUGUCUUUUCUCCAGUGUAUCCUUUUGGUACGUCUGUCAAGGAGGAAAUGAUGGUAUCUGUGAGGCUUUGUUUCUGUAUCUUCUAUUCUCUAACAUUGGUCUGUUUUUUUGUUUGUUUGUUUGUUUGUUUAUGCCAGUACCAUACAGGGGUUUUGUUUUGUUUUGUUUUUACUAUAGCUCUGUAGUAUCAUUGGAAGUCAGGAAUUGUGAUGAUUCUAGCAUUGUUUGUGUGGUUGGUUGGUUGGCUUUUUUGCCUUAAAAUUUCUUUGGCUAUUCUGGGAAUUUUACUCUUCCAAAUGAAUUUUAGGACUAUUUUUCCUAGUUCUAUGAAGAAUGUCAUCAUUAUUUUAAUGGGGAUUAAAUUGAAUCUAUAGACUGCUUUGGUAGUAUGGCCAUUUUAACAACAUUACUUCUGCCUGUCCAUGAACAUGGGAAGUCUUUCCAGCUUUUAGUGACUUCUUCCCUGUCUUUCUUCAAUGUUCAAUUUUUGCUGUAGAGGUCUUUCUCUUCCUCAAUUAGAUUUAUUUCUAGCUCUUUUUUGUUUAUUUAUUUUGAAUGCUAUUGUGAAUGGAAUUGUUUUCCUGAUUUCUUUUUUUGGCAAAUUUAUUAUUGGUGUGUAGGAAAGUUAUAAAUUUUUGUAUGUUGAUUUUGUAACCUGAUACUUUGCUGAAUUUGCUUAUUAGCUCUUCCAGUCUUCUGGUGGAACUUUUUGGAUCUUGCAAGUAUAAGAUCAUAUCAGUUGCAAAAGGCAAUAAUUUGAUUUUUUUCUUUUCUAUUUGUAUCCCUUUUAUUUCUUCCUCUUGCCUAAUUCCUCUGUCUAGAACUUCAAAUACUCUAUUGAAUAAGAGUGGUAAGAAUAGACAUCAUAUCUUGUUACUGACUCUAGAGAAAAUGCUUUCUGUUUCUCCCCAUUCACUAUGGUAUUGGUUUUGAACGUGUUGUACAUUGUCUACAUUAUGUUGAGGUAGCUUCCUUCUAUUUCUAGCUUCUUUAGUGUUUUUAUCAUGGAUGGAUGCUUUUGCCAAAGGCUUUCUCUGCAUCUAUUGAGAUGACCAUGUGAUUUUUUUUUUGCCUUAAUUCUAUUUAGGUGGCAAAUUAAAUUUAUUGAUUUGCGUAUAUUGAACUAUAAAUUUUUUAUUUCAGAAACUAUAUACCAGGGUUUAAAUUAUCAAACAUUGUGAAUAUUAUAAAGGUUUUAUUUUCAAAGAAUGUCAUUUAUCAAACUAUUAAUGCUGCAAAUGUCUCCAGAGCUAACAAAUACCACACAACUGGAGCUGAUUGUAUAGAAUAGACCAAACAAGCUUAUUUCCAGUGUAAACCAAAGCUUAAAAAAAAUGGGAGGGUGGGGCUGAGGGUGUAGCCCAGUGGUAGAACACUUGGCUAGUAUGUACAGGGCCCUGGGUUAGGUCCCCAGCACCACAAAAGAAAUUAAUUUCAUAUAUUUCGAAAAGCCAGCAAUGCUUGGGUCCAAAGGAAACCAGGGAAUGCAUGAAGAAAUAUUCCUCCUCAUCAUGAAAAAUCACUAAUGAUUAUUCAAGCCCUUAAUUAGAGUAUUUAGUUAACAUUCAAAAGAGCCCAAGAAAAGACAUAUUUGAAACCCAAUUUCCCGGUUCCCGGGAGGACAUAAUUAUAUUGCACAAAAUGGCUGUCAGGCUUCCCACUACUGGAAGGAAGGGGCAGUUCUGAGAAGCAAUAUGAGUGGGCUGGCACCUAUGUGUACCCCGCAAAGUCUGUCCCUUCUUCAUAGCAUCCUUUCAGAUAUCCCAAGUUCAGGGUCAGAUCUCCUGUGAAUCUCCCAAAAUUCUCCAUUCAUUUGUCACCCAACCUGGCUGGCUGUCCCCUCCCUAUCCUGAUAAUUAUCCAACAGAAAUAUCACUCAGGGAAGGGUGGCAAUGGAGGCUUUAUGUGGUCACUUAGCAAAUUUAGAGUUUUUCAACAUGAGGACUAUUUUCCUGUAGCCCCAGCUGGGGACAGGCGCUAGUCUCUAGAUGUCCGUAUCACCAGGGAACACCUCUCAAGUGACUGACAUGAGUCCUGGUAGAAAAGCAACAGUGAUGGGACAACAUGGACCGUUCAAAUGUCCACAGUGGAAGGGCUCCUGGAGAACAAUUUGUCCCAACCUUCUCUUACCAUCGGGAGGAAACAUGAGGGCCAGACACAGGAGAAGGUCAGCCAUGUAUGGAACGUAACUGAGAUGGAGCUAGGAGCUCUUCUGAUUCCCAGUCCUCUGGCUCCAAUCACAUCAGAGCCUUGACUUUUCACAAAACAAUCUGAAUCUAACAGUCAAUCUGGAUCCCCCGAGAUCCUUGUCCCUGCUGCACCUUCCUGGGACGAACAGCUUUUGUACGCCUGCUUCCUGUCUGUUAAAUGAAGAUAAUGAUGAUUUCCCAGGGUUGUGGCAAUGGUCUUAAAGGGAACAUUAGAUGUAUUCUCACACUGCACGUCAUCAAUGAGGAGUGAGUGGGUAUCAUCAACUCAUCAUCAUCAUCAUCGUCAUCUCUGUCAUUAAGAGACUCAAGGUCACAGAGCAACAGCUUCAUCAAUGUAUUAAACAACUGAGCACCUCCCAGACAAAUCUUGAGGGUUAAAGGCCUGUCUGUCUGCUCUCCUUCAGGGAUUCCAGUCAUGUAUAUCUGAGGCCACACAGUGUCUCACAAUGUCUCACGACUCACCCUUGUUCUGUUUGGUCUUGGGGAUUUUUUUUCUUUUUUGCAUCUCAUUUUGGAUGGCUUCUAUUGCUCUUUCUUCAAGUUCACUAAUAUUUUCUUCUGCAACAUCUAAACUGCUAUUACUCUUGUGCAGUCUAGUUUUUAUCUCAGAUAUUUCCUGUUGACUUAUUUUUCUGUCUUCUUGAACGUAUAGAAAAUACCUACAACAGUUCGAGUGUCCUUGUCUACCCAUUCUGCCAUCUGUUUGAUUUCUGGAUCUGUUCUUGUGGAUUGACAGUUUUCUUCUCUGUGGGCUCCGCCUCCCUGCUUCUCCACAUGGUCGGCGCAGCUAUUACAUGGCUGAAAGACACUGUGAAUUUUACCCUCUUGGGUGCUGGAUAUUUUUAUAUGUUUUUCAAAUGUUCUUGAGUUUUUAUUCUGGACAUUGGUUAAGUCAUUUGAAAGCAGUUUAUUUUUUCCAAGGCUUACAUGGGGUUCCUUAGUUGAGAUCAGAGCAAGCUCAAGUCCUGGCUAAUUAGACCUAUUGCUACUACGAAGACCAUAACUUUCUUAUACUCUAGGCGAUGUCCCAUGUCUUACAGGAUUUCCCCUCUGGCUGGUGGGAACAGAUAUUCCUGAUAUAUAUUCCUGAUCUGUGUGAGCUCUGAGGAUUAUUAUGCCCAGUGCUUCAAGGGAUUCUAGCAGUUUCUUUGUGCAAAUGCGGCUCUCGUUUUCUGUAGACACUGAGGAAGGAGAGCCUCUGCAGGUCUCCAGCCCUCUCUGCAGCUGUCCCUCAGACUCUGCCUUGGAAGCCUGAGAUUCCCAGGCCACCUCCCCCUCACAAGGGGUCCACCAGCCUCCACCUGGGCUGAGCCCCACUGCUAAAGCUGGGAGAUCCCCCACCACCCCAGCAAUAAGCAGGAGAGCACCCAUCUUUUCUCCUGGACACCUAUGCUGGCUGCCUGCUGCUCUGGUCUGAAAAGCACUGUACAUAUACAUUGUGUCCUGGUUUUCAGUUGUUUAAGGUGGGGGUGAACGUGGUCCGUGUUGCUCCAACAUGGCUUAAACUUGAAGUCAGUCCUGCUUAGACUUUUAGAGCUGAGCUGUUCUUCCUCACUAGGUUAGGAUCUCAGAGGACCAGGGAUCCAGUAGUUACUGGAUGCUGGGGGCAUCUUUUGAGCCCUGAUUAGGGCUAGUCCACCAGACUUGGCCAUGUGAGAAAGGAACCAAGUCUCUUGGCACAGGCCAGUGGGGGUCAGGGGUUUCUAACAUGUAUCUUAAGUGAUCCACCUUAAUAAUUUAAAAUGCACAGGAACAACCUCAUGUGCUUGCAGAACUGGGGCAAAGGUCACAGAAAACAAUCUGUUGUAAAAAGCUGUCCCCACUCCUUCAGGCCUGUAUACUGUAGGUACUGAGGAAAUGCGUCUCGGUCCUGUCCUCAGAUAACUGCUUCUUGAUCCAGCCUUCAGAGCUGAUCCAUUCUCUCUCCCGCCAUCCCUCAAGUUCCCCUUUCUUUCCAGCAGGUAGCUGGUCUGGUCCUGGGGCCCUCUGAGCAGAACCAGGCUUUACAGUUAAUAUCCCGCAGCCUCUGAUUGCAGCUUUCAGAGGUGUAACAUUUGAUAAGCUCCAUUUAGCUUGGCGGGGCUGCAUUGUUUAAAUUAUUCAAAGACAGAUUGCUCGCUCCACCCCCCCCUCCAGGGUUUCUGCUCUGCUGAGCCUGCCGGCAGCACGUUACCAGGAAAUAAGGCGGGGAGUCAGCAGGCAGUUUCUCACUGCCCUGAAAUCAGUUCCAGCCGUUGUUCUACACCCAUCACACCCCAUUAUUCCUUGCUAAUUGCAAGCCUGGUAUGCAAGUUAACUCUUUGAGAACAAUGCUGGCUUUGAUUGCUGGGGAGACACAGUGAGCCUCCCACCUCCUCCUGCCUCCCCUCCCCCUCUGUCCCCAGCUGACUGACUGUCUGGGAUUCAGCAAGUCAAGGGGUGGGAAGAAAUCUGAAAAUCUGAGGUAGAGCUGGUUCCCCAGGCAUUCCGAUUGGGCAGGUGGAUACAGCCAGUUGGGUCCCAGCCUAAGGCUGGAGCAGCCUCAUCUCUAACUGGUGUUGGACAACCCAGUCUUGCUAUUGUGUCCAGCCAUCCGCAUGGCACCUAGAGGGUGUGCAGGCUGGGCCCUGGCUCAGAACAAGCCAUCACCUCCUGGUCCAGGGAGCCCUCGCCACUGCCCUUGGACGUGGCCUCACUCCUUCUGCACCUGAGCUGUUUGCUCCCUACACACGGAAUGAUUGUCACGGUCAUCUGGCAGUGGUCACGAAGAACUAUUCUUCCAGGGAUCCUUUUCAUCAUCGACUUAGAACAAAUAAGAAUAAUUCUAAGAGUUGGUUGGCCAUCAAAGCCUAAAAUAUGUGCUCUCUGGUCUUUUACAGGAAAAAGGCUGCUGGCCCCUCCCCUAGAAUCUGAAUUAAGAGACGGAGGCAACUCGGUGUCUGGACCUUGAAGACAAUGUGUGAGCCUGUCUUGGCCUGGAUCCUAGACCAGAAGAAGACAUGGCUGGAACUGCACUGAAGGGGACCUGCAGAUGGGACAGUAGAGUCACCGUGUCACUUCCUUGAUUCUCAUCAUUGCACUGUGGUUCUGCAAGGGAGACAUAUGGGGAAUUGUACUAUUUUUGCAACUUUUUUGAAAGCCUGAAAUUGUUUUGAAAAAAACAGAUACAUUUGGGGGAGGAAAAAAAAAAAAACAUGGGGCAGGCGUAGUGGCUCAUGCCUGUAAUCCCAGCAACUCAGAAGGCUGAGGCAGGAGGAUGACAAAUUUGAGGCCAGCCUUGGCUACUUAGUGAGACCCUUUCUCAAAAUAAAAGGGGCUGUGGAUGUAGCUCAGUGGAAGAAUGCCCCUGGGGAGGGCCUGGGGAGGGUGGCUUUUAGGUGGGGUGGAAUUGGGAAAGGAGCACUUAGACAGAUGGUCACUUCCCCAGAGGGCCUGAGGGUGAGCUGGGGAUGCAUGCAGCAGUCCAAAGAAUGCAGGCUUUGGCAAGGACGUGGAGUGAACAAGGACGGGGUGGCUGUGCGGUAGAAGGUUAGUCUCCAGGGGCUGCCUACCAUAAAGCCUAAAGCCUCAGUGAACUCACUAACCUCAUGAAAUAAGUGCCAAUAGAUUUCCUGUGUAGGAAGCGAAGGGUCCAAAGUCAGGCUAACUGGCAGGAGGGCAAACAGUGGACCCACCUGGAUGCAGGAGCAGAUAAGGACCCUAAGGAAGUAAGGCUGGCCCUUUUCAGGGUGGCCCAGGCUGAGCCACAAGACCAGAGCCAAGUUCACCUAAAUUGCCACAGGCCAGAGGCCCCAAGAGUGAGUUGCCCUCUCAGGGGUGACCCCUGUCUACUCCCUUGCCCCCAGCCUGAUGACCAACAGGGUCUCUGAUGCUGGCCCCUCCAAGCCCAGCAGUGCCAUGGUCACACUGCCACUCCUGUGCUUGGGCUUUUACCAACCUCAGGGCUGCUAACCAGAGCUGGGAGGGCCACUGGCUGGGCAGUAAGCAGCAUGCUCCAUGAGUAGACUGGGCACAUUAGUAACUAAGAAGAGCAGAAAGCUCCUGCCGCAGCAGAAGUACCUUUAAGCAAGAGAAGUUGCGAGGAGGCCCGAGGAUCCUUCUCAGGAAAAUGGUGCAGUCAGAGAGGACAGCCAUGAGCACGCUCCAGAGGGCCUGACUGGCCAGGGGCCAUCCGUGUGGGAUGGCAGGAAGGCCUCUGCCCAGUUCCCAUGGUCACUCCCAGCCCAGGACUCAGUGCAGCAGGGACACCAGGCAGACCAGGCGGCCAGCGGGAACAGAGUCCCUUGCUGCUUGACCAAACCUGCCUGUGACUACCCAUCUGUCUAGAGAUUCCACAGGACCUUCUCUCCUCGUCUUCACCCAGGUCAAACUUGUUUUGCUGACUGGCUUCUAGCCUCCCCAGCCCUCCCCAUUUUCUCUCACACAGGCAUGACCAUGACGCACAUUAUCAGCACAUCUCAAACACGCAGAGGAAAUUCCUUACUUUAAUUCCAUCCGGGUCUCUGCUAUUUAGAGUGAUCUCCCCUGGAGUGACUCGCCCAGUUCUGCUCUACUCUAAGGUUCCUCUAAGAUAACCAAUCCCCUGCCCCACGGUCUCCCAGAAGGAGGGGACAGGAUAUGCAGCAAGGCCUUUUAAUUUUCCAUAAUUUUAAUAUGUUUCUUUUUAUUAAAAUUAAAUCUUUUUAUAGCUUUAUUUUAUUCAUUUAUUUUAUGUGGUGCUGAGGUUUGAACCCAGGGCCUCACAGAUGCUAGGCAAGUGCUCUACCACUGAACCACAACCCAGCCCAAUAUGUGUGUUUAAAAUCUAAAAUAUAGGGGCUGGGAUGUGGCUCAAGCGGUAGCGCGCUCACCUGGCAUGCGUGGGGCCCGGGUUCAAUCCUCAGCACCACAUGCAAACACAGAUGUUGUGUCCGCCAAAAACUGAAAAAUAAAUAUUAAAAAAUUCUCUCUCUCAAAAAAAAAAAUUAAAAUCUAAAAUGUCUAAUUCCUGGAAUAUAACCUUUACUUUGACUGUAAGGUGGUCAAACACCCACUGUAGAGGGAAAAAAACCAUCCUACAGUUGAUUUCUGAUUUAAAUUUCCUACCAGCUGAGGUGGUAAUCACUUCUGAACUAUUUAGUGGCCAUGUCUUUAAAGGUCGUAUUGGACAGUUGCUGGAGGUCAUAUGUAAGGAAAAGCAUCCUCCUCCUCCUCCUGCCCAAAACAUAGAUGCAUAAACCUCAGAAUCAGGAUUCAUGAGAAGCCAGAAAUCAUGGUGGGACACUAACAGGUUGAGUCAACGUCCAUCUCAGUAAGUUGCACGAGGCCUCAGUGUGCAGAUGUCAAAGACAUACAGUUUGCAGACUGGCUUUACUUACGUCCACAAAAUAAGUGUAUGCAGGGUGAGUCUGUUCAUGACUCGGGGAGCUGCUUCAGAAACAGCAUGACUGACAUGGAAAGGGGAAUGAUGGGAAGAGGAACUGAGAAAUGGGAGAAAGGAAGAUCAGAGAGGAGUCCGCCCUGGGUUCUGUGAGCUGGUCCACUUCCAGGACUGGCAUCUGGGUCCUGGCAGGACUAUUGACUCCUUAAUGAGAGAGCCCCUCAAGGAUCAAUUUCCAGACAAAACUGUCCCAGAUGCCCCCAUGUCACCCAGAUGGGUGGAAGCCAUCAACCCACAGGGAGAAUCUUGCUCUCUGAUGAGAGAAACGCUUGGAAAACUAUCCACCCCAAGGGUGUGAGAGACACCAGAGGGAGGCAGUGUGAAGUGUGGUGUGGGUCCUGCCCAGGAUUGGUUCCCAGAGAGGACACUGGCAUGGGGCUCAGCUGUCCCCUCGCUGAGUGCCCAGCGGCUCUCUAAGAGCAGCCAAGGACGUGGAGAGCCAGGGCAGCUCGGGAGCCUGGGAGCGGGUGGACCCUGCCUGGUGCCUUGAGUUAGGAAACCAGGUCAGAGAGCUUCCAAGCUACUAGGUGAAGAGCUGGCAUUAGAAGGCGUCUGCAGGCACCACGCGGGUGUCCUGACACCUGUCCCUCGGCGCCCAUCGAGAAGGCCUUUCUGGCUCCUGGCCUCAGCGGCUCUGGCAGCCCUCAUUUCCUCUGCUGGGUUUGGGGCUUAAAGCUGCCCAAGUGAGGAGCUCAGAUCUGCCUUUGCGUGAAGCAGCUCUUUAAAUGCAUUUUUCAGCACGACUCCCUGCAAGACAUAGACGUUCAACUGCACGUGUGCGCGCGCGCGCACACACACACACACACACACACACACACACACACACACGGUCCGGGCUUCACAAACAGCGCUCGCUCUGACGGCUCUCCAGGCACUCUGCCGUUCUCUCCCACUGUCUCCUCUUUCCCUUUCUCCAUCAUGGUUAAAAACAAAAACGCUGCUUGGGAUUGGAUGAGCACUGGCUGAAAGGAGCGUCACCACUCUGGGGGUCCAAGGGGCCCUCUGAGAAGGUGGCAGGUCCCUGCACAUGGUCAUCAUCCCACCUUUCUGAGGAGGCUGGAAUUGUGUCCCAAGGAGGUCCCCACGGUUCCCCUGGGUCAUACCACUGCACCAAAACGUCAUGCUCAGACACCCGCGCGGUGUCACAGUCAGGGUGACUCUCAUGGGCUUACACUGAAUGCCUCGCUAGGAAACCCCAAGAGCUACAUGGCCAAAGAGUGAGUGCUAUUCCUACUUCGUUAACUGCUAGGAAAAGUAAAGCUUGAACUAUGUAGGUGACUUGUCCAAGGCCAACUGCAGCUGGCAGGGUCAGAGCAAGGAGCCCAGGGUCUCAUGAUGCUCUAUGUACCGUGCCCCGCCCUUCCACAAGGCUGAUGGAAGCCCUUGCCGUCUCCACCUUUGGAAGUCUCAUCUGGUCCCCAAGCUCUGGACCAACAAGGUCCUGAAUACGGGAAAUUUCUUUUUUUAAAAAAUAUUUUUAUUUUUUAGUUGGAGUUGGACACAAUACUUUUAGUUUAUUUAUUUUUAUGUGGUGCUGAGGAUCGAACCCAGGGCCUCACACUUCCUAGGCGAGUGUUCUACCCCAGCCCCUACGAGAAGUUUCUAACAGUCAUCUUACAUCAAAUCAUCCAGCUGGAUGCCCCUGUGACAUGAGCUUCGACCAGAGUUGGCUUCCACGAAGUUCAUGAGCCAGUGUUCAAGAUUUAGAGAAAACAGUGGACUGCUCAAGACAUACUAGGAACAUCCACGGUGCCCGCCACUCUGCCGGGGGAUUCUCCUAGGCUGCUGUGGCCAGGACUGGUUGCAAAGCCCUCCAACACACUUGACCGAAGACAAGUUUAAUGUCUUGGAGUUUAAUGUUUUUAUUAGUUGUGUUUGUGGCUUCUUCAAAAUACUGUGUAGCUGCUGGCACCACCCCAGCCCCACUGCAAGAACCUCCUCCCCAGCCUCCACUCACCAGCAAGCUGCACCCCGCACCCAGGGAUUGCCCCCCACCCCGCCCUCAUCCAUCAAACAGGCCGCUGUCUGCAGACGUUCCGGGAUUUGUUGUAUUUGGGAUUAAGGGGGGGCGGGUAAAAUUAAUAAGGUUUCUAUAAAUAUAACUUCUCUGGCUCUUGUUAAAACUCUGGGUCACAGGAAAUCUCUGGUUUCAAACGGCUCUAUGCAGAGUGGCCCUGUUUACUUGAAACGUCUCGCCAAGAUCUAGCUUUGCCCCAUUAAUACUAAAUAAAUAAUUUCCACAGAAGCUAUUUUUUGGUCCUCUUUGCCAAAAAAUUUGAGAAAAGGGGCCAGCACAGAAGCCUCACAUGCGUGUUUCAUAUAAAAACCACAGGAUCAGUGGGGACCUUAGUUGUGUAAACUGUUUCAGGACAGAUGAGACUCAGCUGGUGACCCAAGUCAAGCAGAGCACCCAUGGGGCGCUGGUCCCAGCUCCCACCCGAGAGCAGAUCCAUGAGCUUCACACCCGUCCACUCUUCCUAUGUAAGCCACUCUCUCAGAGGGUCCAAGGAAUGUAGAUAGGCACCUGAGGAGUAAAUGGCUUGUGAUCUAGUAGGGUUGCUAAAUUGGCAUAUAAAAUACAAGAUGCCCAAAAGGAACUGAAUAGACACUUCACAGAAGAAGAAAUACAACUGAUCAACUGAUAUAUGAAAAAGUGUUCAACAUUUCUAGCAAUUAGAGAAAUGCAAAUCAAAACUACACUGAGAUUCCAUCUUCAAUUACAAUGUCAAUCAUCAGGAAUACAAGCAACAAUAAAUGUUGGUGAGGUUGUGGGGGAAUAGGUGCAUUCAUGCUUUGCUGGUAGGACUGCAAAUUGAUGCAACACUCUGGAAAGCAGUGUGGAGAGUCCUCAGGAAACUUGGAAUGGAACCACCAUUGGACUCAGUCAUCCCACUCCUAAGUUUAUUCCGCAAAGACUUAAAAUCAGCAUACUACACUGAUGCAGCCGUAUCAAUGUUUAUAGCAGCUCAAUUCACAAUAGCUCAACUAUGGAACCAACCUGUGUGCCCUUCAACAGAUGAAGGGAUAAAAAAUGUGGUAUAUAUACACAAUGGAAUAUUACUCAACUUAAAAAAGAAUGAAAUUGUGGUAUUUGCUGGUAAAUGGAUGAAACUGGAGAAUAUUAUGCUAAGCAAAAUAAACCAAUCCCAAAGAACCAAAGGCCAAAUGUUUUCUCUGAUAGGAGGAUGCUAAUUCACAAUAAGGGGUUGGGGAAGAAUAGAGGUAUUUUGGACUAGACAGAGGUGUGUGAAGGGAGGGACAGGAGUAUGGGGGUAGGAAUGAUAGUAGAAUGAAUUGGACAUUAUUACCCUGUGUGCAUAUGAUUACAUGACCUGUGUACCUCUACAUCAUGUACAACCAGAUGAAUGAGAUGUUAUACUCCAUUUAUGUAUGAUGUGUCCAAGUGCAUUCUACUGUCAUCUAUAACUAAUUAGAACAAAUUUAAAAAAUAAGAAAUGAAAAUAAAUAGAAUAAAAUACAAGAUGCCCAGUUAAAUUUGAUUUUCAGACAAAUGACAAAGAAUUUUCAGUAAAAGUACAUCCUGUACAACAUUUGAAACGUACUUAUGUUCAUUUAUUUUAUGUGGCUUAUCUGAAAUCCAGAUUUAAUGGAGCAUCCUGUGUUUCUCCGGGCAGGGCUCUGAGGCCUCUCUCCUGGCAUGCAGAGGCUGUCUUCUGAGUCUCCCCCUGAUCUCUCUGUGCGUGUCCUAAUAUCUUCUUUUUCGCCUCCCUUUUUGCAGCGCUAGGGACCAUACCCAGGUCCUCAAAUGUGCUAGGCAAGCGCUCUACCACUAAGCUACACCCCAGCCCGAGAUUUCCUCUUUCCAGGGUAGCAGUCGUAUUGUGUUGGGACUGGUCCUAAUGACCUCAUUUUAAUUUACCACCUCUUUAAAGACCCUGUCUCCACACAACCAUAUUCUGCGGGAACUUCAGCAUCUGCCAUGGGGGGAGGGAGCACAGGUGGCCCACAGCAGGAAGGGGGUAAGUGUGGCAUCCACCAGCACUGCCCAGAGCUGACCACUUGUCGCUGUCUCAUAGCCACUGGCUUCACAGGCAAGAAGACAGAAGCGCCUUCCCACAGGCCAGGCCAGGCAGCCAGCUGGAUCUCUUGUCCCUAAAAAAGAGAAGCCUCCAUUUAUCAAGUAACUGCUCCACGGCAGGUGCUUUCCACAUGGUGCCCCACUGCAUCCUCAAGUGCCCGGCGGGCAGCUGUGUUCUCCUGGCCACAGGAGAUUCAGAGUCAGGGUUCAGUGGGCUCAAAGGCCUGCCAGAGUUCUCAGAGCGCCUGUGACCAAAGUUUAGCCCGACCCCAGGUUGGGCCUUCUGUACAUUGACGUGCCUGUUGGAAAAGCCCAGUCUUCCCCCGAAGGAAGGGUGCUGGCACUAGGGUCCUAGGAAGAGGCUUGGCCCCUGUGUUGCCCAUUUCUGCCCAAACCAGACAGUUCUGCUCCCCCUGCACCAGAGAUGUGCCCGUGGAAACAACAGGUAGCUCAUGGGACACCAGAGCCUCCGGUCAAUAUUUGCCCAGUAAUUCAAGCAGGUAAUAAACAGCUUACAGGUAGCCUCCCUCGCUCCACAUGAGCUUCCUCCGCUGCUGGACAGGGCCCAGCCCCGGUGAGUCUGGGAUCAGGCCUCUUCUCUUCAGCCGGAGGAGCAGCACAUUAACCCCCCAAGGGAGCUGUGAAGAAUUCCGGGCUGAGGCCACCUGUAGACCAAUCAAGUCAGAACCUCGGGGGUGGGACUCACGGUCCCAUGACGUUUCCCCACGGGUGGCCACUGCUGAGAAAAUGCUGCCAUCAACAAGUGCAAUGACUAUUCUUAAUGGUCCUGAGGACAGAACAAGGGGUGGGUGCGGGUGGAGCAUCAGUCAGAGCCCCUCCACCUCCCAUUUCCAGUGCCCCCCACGUGGACCCAAACCCAGGACCCCGUGGAUGUACACACCAAGUCACAUGUACACAAGUGCUCACUUGUACCUACGCACAGGGACUCUUGCUCGAAGCCGUCAAGCCGAGUCAGGCUUCUGUGGUUGGGGAAGCACAGGCCACUGCUGAAGUGUACCCACAGCAGAACCCAGCGUCAGCCCCUCCUCUGGUCAUGUCCAUGGUCAAUUCUGGGAAGGGUGAUGCCGGUGUGCGCCAGCAUGGAGCACCACGGUAAGGGAGGAAGGGGGCCUCACACUUGUCCCACCCCCUCUUUCCUGUGUGAGAAAUGCGCCCAGAGGGGAAGGUGUGUGUCCCAGGGUCGGCCAGCCUGGGCACUGGCCUGCAGAAGGACUGUGUGGGCCAGCACAGUCGUCGACAUGAAUCACCCCCUCCACUCUCCCGAGGAUGUUGGACGUGUCCUCAGAUUCAGCACUCAGCAGCCUUGGGCAGGGGAGCUUCCCAUAAUUUGAGACAUGAAGAGACUGAAGUAAGACUUUUCUCUCCCUUUAUAAAAAUCAUGGUAAAAUACACAUAACAAAGAAUUUAUCAUAUUAACCAUUUUUGAGCAUACAGUGCAGUCACAGUGAGUACAUUCAUAAUGGGCAAACAUCACCUCUUUCCAUCUCCAGAACUUUUUCAUCUCCCCCAAUUUGACCUCUGUACCCAUUAAACACUAACUCCUCCUGCCUUCUCCCUUGGGUUCCUGGAAACCCCUCUUCUGCCUCUAUCUUGGGGUGCCUCACAGAAAUGGAAUCCUACAGUAUCUGUCUCCUUGUGAUUUCCUUCACUUAGUGUAAUGUCUUCACGUCCCAUCCAUGCUGGAGCAUGUCAGAAUUUCCCUCCUUCUAAAGCUGAAUGAUAUUCAUUGUAUGGACAUGCUAUGUGUAUCUGUCCAGUUGAGCACUGAUGGACGCUGGGGUUUCUUCAGCCUGGGCUACUGUGCUGUGAGCAUGGCUUUACAAACACCUCUUUCAGGCCUAUUUUCAGUCCUCUUGGGUAGAUACCCAGAAGUUAGAAUGCCAGUUCACAAGGUAAUUCUGUUAAUUUUUGGAGGAACCACCCUACAGUUUCCCACAGCAUUUGCACAGCAUGCUCGCCCACCAACGGUGUACAUGGGUCUGAUUUCUCCACGUCCUUGACAACAGGUUAUUUUCUGUUUGUUGUUUAGUUGCCAUCCUGAUGGAUGAGAGGUGACACUUGUGGUUUUGACUUUCCUUUUCCUAAAGUUAGGAUCCAAAGUAGCUUCAUGUGUUUCUUAGCUAUUUGUAUAUCUUUUUUGCAGAAAUAUGAAACCCUGGGCUUUGAAAUACCAUGACCCAGGCUGUGGAGCUUGCAGGGCUAAGUUCAUAUCCAAACAUCUACCUGCAGAAACUUGCUCUUAACCACUGAUGUUGAGUUGCCAUGAGGGUUGUUCUCGAAACAGUGCCACAGAUGCAGUAAGUGCUCAACAAAUGUGAGUUAGAACCACCACCAACAUUACUGCAGCAGCUACUAUUGUCACAAGGCUUCCAAGAUAGGCACCAGACAGUUUUGUCUCAGCACUCAGCUGCAAACCCAACACCAUAAACGGGGGGACUAUUGGCAUGGUUGUGGCCAAAGGAGAAGAGAUCAAGGACCAUCAACAAACCAUCGUGGUUUAUUUCCUAUUUCAGCACUUCUCAAAAACUGGACCAUGACUGGCUGGAUCAGAACAACCCAACAGAAGCCAGCACAGCACAGCAGUUCAAGUCAACCCAAGAUGUUGGCUCUAAAUGAGAUCCUGGGUCUCCUUUUCAGACUGACUGGACCAGAUCUCUUGGUGGAGACAUUUGCAGAAUAUGAACCCCCAAGGAAGGUUCACUCAGUUCAACUGAUUAUCUUGGCCCUUUGGUGCUGGGGCAGGGGGCUUGCUCAUGGUGGGAUCCAUCUAUAUCCUUUUGGUUACAGUAAAAAAGAUCUCACACACACAUACACACACACACACACACAAUGAAGGACAACAAGUCCCAAGUCCUCUGCCAGUGUCUUCUAUUCUAAAUUUCUCAUAAUCCUGUAGUAGUUUUACACUGAAAAAAAAAAGAGACAUUUUAAAGCAACUAAAAUUUUUGAGGCACCUAUAUAUAUAUUUUUAAACAACUUCACGGAAGUAAACCCAAUACACAUUAAACUACACUUAUUCUGCCCAUGCACUCUCUACCUUCCCACAAGACCUUCAGCAUCUGAAUAUGUAGAUUUUAAGGAAAGAAAGCAUCUGAGCCCUUUCCUGGUGGGCACUGUUGGCAAAACGCCCUGGUGACAUUGCCCGGAAUAACAGAGCAGGUCUUGGGGGCUGGGAAUAAGUUAGGCAGGCCCAGAGGAACCCAGGCUGUGGCACACACACACCACAGCUGGCCCACAGACAGAGGAGAGGGAUGAGCAGAGGUGGUGUUUUCUCCAUAGGGCCUUCCUCUGACGGCAUCCAGCUUUCAAACUCCUAUUCUUCCCUCAGAACUCACCUCUUCCUCCAGGAAGCCUCUCCACGUCCACACACGCUUCCAAGUCUUGCCUCAAGGCGGUGUCUGUUGGUUGGGGGCAUCUUCUUCUGGGCAUCAAACAAAUUUGGAGGACUUGGAACAUUCUCCUGUCCACCUCCCAACAACGAGAACUGUGGUUUAUAUACCUGCCCCAAACACAAACGUCGCUCUCCUUUUCUAUGAUCCUUCUAAGGAAGACCUCAAACGCCUGGGGCAUGCUGGAUGACCUCUCUGUUGUGCCUAGCUCCUUGGCAGCUGCAGCCUGACACCGGGUCCUAUCCCCAAGUCCUCUGCCAGUGUCUUCCUGGCUGGCCCUGCCACCCAAUCUUGAGCUUAAUGUUUCUGGAAACUGGCCACCAGAGCAGCCCCCCUGGGCCUCAACCUGCAGGGAGAAAACAGUAGUGGGGGGCAGGGGGGGGCAGGACUGAGGAGAGUGGGGUCAGAGUGUUCUUGGGAACCGAACAGCGGCGGUUGCAGGGAGGAGCAACUGGCUCUAUUUCUCUGCUGGCAUUGCAGCUGUGGGUUCUCCCAGCCGGGGGGCCAGGGCAACCACAGCUGCAUCUUGUUAAACACCAGCUGUAUACCAAAGUCAUUUGUGCACAGUAUUCCGUUAUUAUCACUCCUCUGCCAGGUCACCCAGCUCAGAGGAGGCAGCACCAGGAAUAACGUGACAGCAACUUACUCAGAGUCCAGGCCCUUCUCCCCAGCCCUUCCUCACCUCCAAUCCAGACCCAGUGUGUGGCAAAUGCAAACUCCGUGUCCAUCUGCAGGUGAGUGUGGAGCUCUGAGUCCAGGACUUCCGCUCCUUGCUGGGAGCAACGCCCCCCCGCCAACCCCCCACCCCAGGCUUGGGAGAGAGGCCCACUCCUGUCCUGUUGCAGAGCGCAGCAGACGUGAGCCUGCCCGGGGUGUCCUGGUGCCCAGCUCCUACCACAGGCUCCCGCACACCUGUCCCUGCAGCAGACCCAUGGGCAGGCCAACCAGGUGGCUCCCGGGUCUCAGCCCCCUUUCCAUUCUCCAGGGUCACCUUGGUGAUCUGUUCUCCUUCUCGGAAGACCCUUCCUAGCACACCCACUCCCAGAGCUGCCUUGUCACACGUAAUAAAGUGAAAGGAAUUUUGAGUUUCUAAGCAACUCAGCAAGAAGGAGAUAAAAAGGCAGAGCAGGAGGGGGGAAGGAGGGGGGAUGGCUGGGCUGCUGUCCCACCCAAGCCAAGAAAGGCCCUCAGUGCCGAUGCUCCCCUGAGGUGGCCCAGGAAGCCCAGGGCAUUUCAUGUGCUUGCUGUCCCUACUAUCCCCCAGGCCCUCAGUCAAGCCAGCCUCACACAAAAGUGGCCUGUCCCAGAAGCUUUGAGAUGUGAAGGAAGAGGCCUGGCAUUGGCAGGACUGCCCAGGGACAGGCAUAGCCUGGAGCAGCAGCAGGCAGGCACAGGACGGCAGGGGGCUUACAGGAACUGCAGAGAAAGUCCAGACCAAUGGCAGGAACUAAGCCCCUGGAACCCUGCCCAUGUCCUGUGACAGCCCCCAGAAGACUUCUUGGGGAUUCUCCUGGGGAGCUCCUCCCUGUAUUGGAAUCAGAGGAUUAAGUCACAUGCCCAAGGACCAGAGGACUUGUGUCAUAGGGACCACGAGAAGGAAGAGGCGAACAACCCCAUUCUAAGGAUGAGGAGACUGAGGUUUCUGCCCACUUGCUCCAUCCACUCAACUGCACACCCCUCCUCUGGCUUCUCAGAUGGGAGGAGAGGAACUCGGGCUCUUGCCUUCUGCACUGCAGCCACUCCAGCGUCUUGCUCCCUGCCUGAAUCUGCCAGCACUUGUCCCCUCACUCCCUGGAAGAAGACCCUUCUUCAGUCACUCCUGAGGGUGGAAGCCACAGGUCCCUCCCAGCCACCUGAGGACCCAGGCUCAGCUCCUUUGACCUCCCUACAGAUGCCAGUGACGAGGAGCAAGUUCAACCUCGAAUGUACUUCCCCCAGCACUCAACUUCUGCAUGGUUCCUAAUGACCAGAUGUUUUACAUCAUGGAAAAUAAACACCCAGAUGACACUCUACUUCCUGCCGCAUCUUGCCUGGCUCCUGGCGCAGAGCUGUUGGAGGUUGCCCUGCCCUGAGUUCAGUGGGGCUCGGGCACCUGUCUUGCCCCAGCAGAUCGCUGAUGGCCACCAACCCUGGCCUCAGCUUUGCCAGGGCAGGCUCCCAGCCACAGGCUGUCGGGAAUUCUGCACUACUACAAGCAAUUGGUUAAAAUGAACCCUCUGCUCAUUGGCAGACGGUGGGGUUUUCACAGCCACAUUCAACAACUUAAUCAGAGAAAGGUGGUCCCAAAGACACCUCACAUAUAAAAAGUCCCUUCCUGCAAGAACUGGGGUUUUAGGGCCAACAGACCUUCAGAAGGUAUGCUCCCUCUAAAACUCCAAGGCCAAAGGACAUUGCCCUCCUCUUAGAAAUCCUAAGGGAGGAAAAAGAAUUCUCUACAUAUUUCCUAAAGUAUACUACCAAAAAAUGUGGGCUGUGGAGAGCCAGGGACAGAACUAGGGCCUGUUGGAAGGCUACUCUCCAUGAUGUGAAUGCAUAUCUGGGCCACAGAAGGACCUCUAGGUCAAUGACAGGGCCUCUGCGCAUGUGAGAUCAUAAUGAAACUGAAAAUUCCUACUACCUAGUGACAUUUGGGUCUUCAUACAUGUCAUAAUAUUUUGCAACUGCUAGAAGAAAGCACAGGCUCAUCACCCCAAUGUUCAGGCUCAGGCAAUGACUUCCUCCAUAGGACUCCUACAGCUCGGGAAAUAACACAAGAAUCAAUAAAUGGGAUGGCAUCAAAUUAAAAAGCUUCUGCAAAGCAAAGGAAACAAUUAAGAACAUGAAGAAAGAGUCUACCGAAUGGGGGGAAAUUUUUGCUUGUUACUUUUCUGACAGAAGAUUAAUAUCCAGAACAUAUAAAGAACUCCACAUCCAAGAAGCAAACAACCCAAUUAAUAAAUGGGCAAAAGAACUAAACAGACACUUCUCAAAAAAAGAAAUACAAAUGACUGGCAAGUAAAUGACAGUAUGCUCAACAUUAUUCGCAAUCGAAGAAAUGCAAAUCAAAACUAUACUGAGAUUUUAUCUCGCUCCAGUUAGAAUGACAAUCAUCAAGAAUACAAAUAAUAAUAAAUGCUGGUGAGGAUGUGGGGGGAAAGGUGCACUCACACAUCGUUGGUGGAACUUAGAAUUAGUACCACUACUCUGGAAAACAGUGUAGAGAUUUCUCAAAAAACUAGAAAUGGAACCACCAUAUGACUCAGCUAUGCCACUCCUUGGUAUUUAUCCAAAAGAACUAAAACCAGCAUGCUAUCGGGAUAUAGCCACAUCAAUGUUCAUAGCAGCACGAUUCACAAUAUCCCAAUGGAACCAGCCCAGAAGACUGGAUCAAGCAAAUAUACUCUGAAGUUUUGCUUAGCCAUAAAGAAGAAUAAAAUAUGGCAUUUUGGCAUUUUCCUGUAAGUGGAAGAAAAUGGAGAGCAUCAUGCUAAAUGAAACCAACCAGACUGAGGAAAUGAAGGGUCAGAUAUUUUCUCACAUAUGUGGAGGCUACAGAAAAAUAAGGAAAAAGUGGAGUUAUAUAUCAUAAAGAUAUGGGAAAAAUCAGAGAAGUAGAAAAAGGAGAUCAAGAGGGAUAGGCAAGGAGAGAUAAAGCAGAAUAAAUUUAACAAAAUCACAUUACAUGCACAUGUCAACAUGCCACAGAGAAUUUCACGUAUAGGUGUGAUGAAAAGCACCAAUCAGUGGUGGGUACCUGGAGGAGCAAGGGGAGAAUCAGCGGGGUGUUGGGGGAGGAGCUGGGACUGAAAAGGAGUUGAUCAGGUUUCAUACAAGUAUGAUUUUGAACCCAGCUACUGUGUAUAACUAUUAUGCUCCAGUAAAAAAAGUUUCAGUAUAAAAAAUAAACACAGGGCUGGGGCUGUAGCUCAGUAGUAGAGCAAUUGGCUGGCAUGAUGAGGCACUGAAUUCCAUCCUCAGCACCACAUAAAAAUAAAUAAAUAAAUAAAUAAAGGUAUUGUUCAUCUACAACUAAAAAAGUUUUAAAAAUGAACACAAAUUAUAAUAAACGUUGGUGAGGGCAUGGGUGAAAGGAGCACUUAUAAACUGUCGGUGGGAUCAUGGAUUAGUAUAAUCACUAUGGAAACCAGUACAGUAGCUUCUCAAAAGACUAGAAAUGGAACCACAGUGGACCCAGCUGUCCCACUCCUCAGUGUUUAUCCCAAAGAACCAAAUCCACAUGCUAUGGCAAUAUGCACAUACCUGUGUUUAUAGAAGCACAAUUCACAAUAAACAAAUUAUGUAUAAUUAUAAUACACUAAUAAAACAUUUUUAAAAAUAAUAUAACACAUCGCAUUCCUCGGGUUUUGUGGUGGUGUGUUCCACCUGUUGCACAUCCAGAAGCAAAAGAAUUAUAGUUAUACAAUUGCAUAUAGUGUGUGAUACUUGAUGAUAAUAGUGAAUAACCACGUUUCUGAUUUACAUAUUUACUCCACGCUUUUGUCAUUAUUUUUGAGUGUACUCCUUCUACAUACUGCAAAAAUAGUUUGCCAGCAAGAGCCUCACACACCCUGUGUUUAUCCCAUCUCUUGGCUGUAUGGAGAGGCCAUGUCGAGGGUCUGACCUGCACCACUCUGCAGCUGGGAUAUGGAAAGUUCCCCAAAGGAUCAUGUGUGGAGGGCUUGGUCCCCAAUGCAGCAAUGUUCACAAGUGGGGCUUUUGGGAAGUGAUUGGAUCACAAGGGCUCUGAUCUCAUCAGUAGAUUAUCCAUUGAUGGACUUAUUUUACUUUUAUUUAUUUAUUUGGGUGCUGGGGAUGGAACCCAAUGGCACUCUAACACCAAGCUACACCCCAUCCUUUUUUUAAAAUUUUUUUUAGUUGUAGUUGGUACAAUAUCUUUAUUUACUUAUUUAUUUUUAUGUGGUGCUGAGGAUCCAACCCAGUACCUCACACAUGCAAGGCAAGUGCUCUACCACUGAGUUACAGUCCCAGCCCCCAACCUUUUUAUUUUUUAUUUUGAAACAGGCUCUUGCUAAAGUGCUGAGGGCCUGGCUAAGUUGCUGAGGCUAGUCUUGGACUUGUGAUCCUCCUGCCUCAGCCUGCCCAGUUGCUGAGAUUACAGGUGUGUACCACCACACCUGGCCCAUUUUGUUUUAUAUUUUGAGGCAGGUCUUGCUCAUUUGCCCAGGCUGGGCUCAAACUUGCAAUCUUCCUGCCUCAGACUCUCGAGUGGCUGGGGUUACAGGCCAGCAACAGCUCACCUUGCUGAUGGGCCCAUGUUGGACUGGACUGUUGGGAGGUGGUGGGAGCUGGAGCAUUUAGGGUCUAGUUGGAGGAAGGAUGUCACUGAGGGAGUGCCCUGGCAGGGUCCCUCUCCACCCUGGCCCCUUCCUCAUUCUCUCUGCUUCGUGGCUGCCACGAGGUGAGCAGCCUCCUCUGCCACACACGCCUGCUGUCAUCUUGUCCUGGCCCAAAGCAUGGAACCAGCCAGCCCUGGACAGAACUCUGAAACCAUGAGUCCCUGUAAGUUGAUUUUCUUGGGUGCCUGGUCAGGAAAGCUGACUACAACCCAACCACCUAGGUCUGUGUCAGUGCUCUAUGGUGGUGGCGUGCCCACGAGAUCACCUGAUGGUGUCAUCCUCAGAACCUCUUGUCAAUCCACGUGAGACUGUAUUUCAUAUUCCAGAAACAUUUCUCUCACAGCAUCCAGCACACAUAAUGUUGAGUCCUCUUUGCAUAUAAAGAUACUGAGGUGCUCAGAAGUGGAGCAGCUUGCCCCCUGAGGGAUGGAGCUGCAAAGUGUCUGGGGUCUGCAAAGACCCCAGACCCGCCACUCUCAAGUGCAGCCUCCUCCUCUCUGCUGAGGUGGGGAGUGGGGAAAGGCCUGGUGGGGUAGGUGCUGGGCCUCCCCCGGGGCCUCUGAUUUGCAGGGUUUGUGUUGGACUUCCUCCUUUCCAUGACUGGCCAGCAGGCUCUAGAGGUGGGACCAUCGCUCAGAGGACAUGGACUCCAAGAGAGGGAGUGUCAGUUAGGACUGGAUGGUAUUAGGGUCCCUGGGUCCCAGUCAGCGAAUAUCCACUGGGUCAGGAAGCCAAAGUGAGAUGAGAGCCAAUUUCACAUAUACAUGCGCACGCACAUGCACACACACACACACACACAGCAUGCAGAACGAAUCUAGGAGUUUUAUAUUAAUGCAUUUUUAUUGUGGUAAAAUGUGCACACAUUUGCUGUUUUGAUCACCUUUAAGCAUAUGGUUCUAUGGCAUCAAGUGUGUUCAUGUUGUGCGACCAUCCUGCCAUCCGUCACCAGAACUCUUCAUCUUCCCCAACUGAAAAUCUGUCCCCAUUAAACAACUCUCCUCUGCACCUGGCAACCUUCAUCCCAUUUUCUGUCUCUGUGAAUGUGACCACUCCAGGACCCUCCCCUGAGUGGAAUCUCACAGUAUUUGUCUUUUUGUGAAUAUGCUUAUAUUGAUGUCUUCAAGGUCAAAUUUAGAGGUUUCAAGAGGGAGGACCCACAGCUCUCUCUCCUUCCUGGUGCCAUGUUCCCAGCUGACUCCCUCCACCACACCCUUCCACCCGAUGGAGUCAGCCAUCUAUGAACUGAGACCUCUGGAACCCUAUCACCAAAGCCUCAAGGUCACUUAUGAUUUGUCCUUGGAAAACCAGAAAGGUAGACCACUCUUCUGCUGGAUGGGGCAUAGGGUCGAGCCUAGGUUUUCAUUUGUUUAGGUUUCUGAGUGUCUUCUUUUCUAAGUUGGAAGGACAUGACCAUUUCUUUGGCAUCAAAAGGCUAGGAAAGAAAGUACAAUUUUGUUUCUUCUUUUUCGUUAGCCAGUUGCUUUGAACUAGGAACUUAAGCUCUUAAAUUUGCUAGCAUGUGAGUAAAGUGGACAAGUUGUUUCAAAGGUUCAAGCAUUUGGAGGUGGAUAAUGAGUAUGGAAACUAGAUUUUGGCAAAGCAAUCUAGGCCAGAGAGCAUCCAGAACAUGUGGUCCACACACACGUCACACACUUGACAUAGUCAAAACAUACUGACUGGGGUUUAAAUAAAACAAACUACAGAAUUUUGGAAAUUGUCUAAUUUGUAGAUGACUCCAGUCCCUUUGCUAAUGAGGUGGAAUUUCACUAAAUGAUUAUGUUGUCUGCCUUACUGCUUUACACAUUUUUUGUUUUGAUGCUUCGUUAAGGAUCUUUAUUCUCAUGCAGUUGUGUUCAUUAAAAUACUUCAUGUCUAUUUUUCAAAAAUUAAACUGUAAAUGGAUUGAAGAGGGAUCAGUGGAGUGGAGGAAGGUGGUGGGGUGCUCUGGACGGCACGGAACAAGUUGUGUUCCGUGCUUUUGUGAUAAUGUUAGGAUAAUAGCCUAGUGUUGUAAAUAACUAAAAAGAAUAAAUUAAGAUUUUAAAGAAAAAAAUUAAAAGAAUUUUUACAUAGUGUUGUGGCCUGGUGAGUCAGCCUUCUCCACUAAGGGACCUAAUGCCAGUCGGCCUGAACCCAUAAGGCCACCCUGGCCUCCCUCCUGCAGACUGCCCCCCACCCACCAAAGCCUUGUUAUGGGAAUGUCCUUUAUCUUCCUUUCUGUCCUUCCAGACCUCCAAGGAGCUCCCCUCCCUCUGCUUCUGCAAAGUCAAGGAAGCCAACUCCGGGUACCUCCUGCUCUGCUUCACUCCAGCUACGCCAAUGACCUGCAGCUGCCUCUGGCCACCAGCGUCACCUGGCCUCUGCUGCCUCACGGCUCUAGAAGAUCUCCCAGCCGCUCAGUGAGGGCGGAGCCCGCCAGUCCCUCCC
Molecule: long non-coding RNA, 37278 nt
Filed under: Marmota monax (woodchuck)
Lineage: Eukaryota; Metazoa; Chordata; Mammalia; Rodentia; Sciuridae
Source: RNAcentral